AUCUCCUGGGAAAUAUUGUUGAAAUGCAGAUUCUGAUUCUGUAGGUCUGGGGUGGGGCCUAGGAUUCUGCAUUUCUAACAAGCUCCCAGGUGAUGCUUC
This 99-nucleotide microRNA precursor is filed under the name Bos taurus (domestic cattle). RNAcentral describes it as "mir-544 microRNA precursor family". It matches the Rfam family "mir-544 microRNA precursor family". The record is from Rfam by way of RNAcentral. RNAcentral also lists the same sequence under 4 other names. Lineage: Eukaryota; Metazoa; Chordata; Mammalia; Artiodactyla; Bovidae.